Molecule: small RNA, 66 nt
Filed under: Atopomonas hussainii
Lineage: Bacteria; Pseudomonadati; Pseudomonadota; Gammaproteobacteria; Pseudomonadales; Pseudomonadaceae
Description: Pseudomonas hussainii Pseudomonas sRNA P26
Rfam family: Pseudomonas sRNA P26
About the family: P26 is conserved across many Gammaproteobacteria species and appears to be consistently located between the DNA directed RNA polymerase (beta subunit) and 50S ribosomal protein L7/L12 genes.
Source: Rfam by way of RNAcentral
CUGCUCGCGUCGACAGUCCGGCGCUUUGCGUCGGACUGAUGGCUGGUGGCCUAAAGCCACCGGCCU